GUACCUGAUGUUAAACGUGUGUGAUGGACUGAUAUGGACUCCUCCUCCCAAAUGGAUAAAGGACUUGCAUGCUAGAGAAUGUCUUCAGUUCCUCUGCAGAGUAACUCAGGUCUUAUGUUGAAUAAAGAUCUGAUGUUUA
Molecule: long non-coding RNA, 139 nt
Organism: Etheostoma spectabile (orangethroat darter)
Lineage: Eukaryota; Metazoa; Chordata; Actinopteri; Perciformes; Percidae
Exons: 3
Source: RefSeq, a predicted model, not a curated record